This 3196-nucleotide long non-coding RNA is filed under the name Triticum aestivum (bread wheat). RNAcentral describes it as "long non-coding RNA (TAES_LNC025920)". The record is from RNAcentral. Lineage: Eukaryota; Viridiplantae; Streptophyta; Magnoliopsida; Poales; Poaceae.
CGCUUAUUGCAUAUACAGUACAGUAAUAAUCAAAUUAAACAAGAAAACAAAUCCAUCCAAACUUUUCCUCCGACGUGGUAACUACUCCGUAUAAAGUUCGCAGUGGCUAACAACAAUAGCACAAGGCUUCACUACUCUAGGAUAAAUGAGAAUUUUCAAAUAAUAUAACUAGCUGACCAUCAACAAUGCAAUUCAAACACUAUCGACCUAAUCAUCGCUAACAGAGUUCACAGUUGUACAAGCAUAUACUGUAUUUAAGUUUAAGGGUGCAUUUAGCAGAAAAUUAUUGGGAAAAUAUGACGGAGAUUGUUGUUUAAUUAGACAAUGCACAGUUCUGAACAUGGAUAUCCAGCGGCAGUCCUGUUAACUCCCUCAUUCCACUGUGUUCAAAAUCCAACUGUAAAGCUUCCAGGCUUCAAAUUGCUAGCAAAGUGGCAGAUACUUGGAACGAAAGGAAUAUAAGAUCUGAAUACAAGCAAACAGGAAAUGAUAUUAAUAACCAAAACUAUUGGGAAUAGAUGGAACAGAACGACCUUGACCUCAGCAAAAGUCAAAAAUAAAUCCAAGCUCGUUAAUUCACAAUGGCACGCCAUUAGUACGAAAGUGAUAGGAAAUGAUGAGGGUGCUUGGAUACGUUUUAGUCUCAUGACUAAAAGUAGUGGGACUAAAACUUGCUAGCUUCACCCAUGCUUGGAUCCAAAUACUAAAGAGACAAAAAUCAAAUUAAUGAGCAUUUAUUAUCCUCCAAACCCUUCAAUCCAGAACUCGCCUGUGUUAAAAGAAAGGAGUUAAAUGAGGAGAGAGAGGACUAAUCCACAUUUUAGCAGGGGUACCCUGACUAAAAAAAUUUAGCCUCAAGACUAGUUUUAGCCUCUCUUUAGUCAGGGGUGCUUGGAACUUUAGCCUCUUAAAGAGACUAUUUUUAGUCAGACUAAAAUAAGUCCCUUGGAUCCAAGCACCCUCUAUGCCCCCAUGGAGGAGAUUUGGCUCGAAGAUCUAUCAAUGAAAGAUGGCCAGCGCCAACACAGUGAAGUCUGCCUCUGCAUACGAGCCCCCUCUGACCUGCAGCUAUAGUUGUAGGAGUAUAUAAGUAUUGCCCUGGUUUUGCUUUCUUCUUUUUGGUUUUUUGAUACAAUAGUUUUUUUGGGUUUUGUUAGUAUAUGCUCUGGUUGGCUGCCUUUUCAGUUUAUUGGUUUGUUUGGUGUUAUUUUGUGAACUUCUGUACCUUCUCACCAUUCUUCUCAAGUUCUCGUACAUCUAAUACAAAACAGCAUGCAUGUUGAUACAUGUCCAAGAAAAAAGAAUGAUGCCAUAAUAUGCUAGAAAUCCACAAAACACAACAGUUAUGUUUUUGAGAAUGGUGCACAAAUCUCAACUAACCACUUGUCAUCUUAUCUGUAAUUCUAGCAGUACAUCAAUCAUACAGGAGGCACAGAACAAGAGCACCAAUUAACAAAGUGAUCCUUCAGCAACAAGGAAAAAUAAUGGGUUAAUUUGAUAAAUGCCACUCGAAUUCUGGCGAUUCCCAGAAAUGCCAUUGCAAUUUCCAAACUUUGAAAAAUGCCAUUUCCAGUGGCAUUUUCCAAAGUCUGCCGUGGCGUUUCUCAAAGUUUGGAAAUUGCAGUGGUGCUUCCCGGAAUCGCCAGAAUUUGAGUGGCAUUUAUCCAAUUAACCCAAAAAUAAAUUGGGUGUCUCCAUAGCAAAUCUAAUAAAUGGAAUCAAAGUUAAAAAUAGUGGUAGUUCCAAAUGCUUCCACAACUAAUUUACUGACUAUCACUUUCCUAGGUUCCUGACAAAAUAUUUCCCACAGUAGCUUUGCAUUUCAAAUAUCUAGCUGAACUCAUGGAUGAAGCGGAAACAAUGCUUCUUCUUUCCUAAAUUUGCUUCAACUUUUUUCUUUUCCCUUUUCCCUUUCCGACGUAACGAGUCUUUCAAGUUCAACCAAGACAACUUAUAUCCAAUUAUUAUUUUGUGGCUGCCUGCCAAUAUCUAUUACAUCACAGUGUUAUGUUACCCUACAGCUUAUGUCCAGUGGAUUUUGCAUGGCCUUAUAGGCAUAAAACCGUGACUGGAGAUGUUGUUAUCACACAUUAUUUAUGACAGAUUUACAUCACGAAUUUGUCAGCACCGUAGUUCAGAUUAUGAGCACGACACUCACGUUUGUAAUUUGUAAAGUGCAAUGUGACUUUUUAAUAAAUUCUCAGCUCCCCUAACAAGGUCAAGGUCAUACCUGAAGAGGUUCUCAUGUGGAAUGAUCAUAAGUAUUGUCUAGACAAGAUGGUCCGAGAGGUAACAGGAUAACUUGUGAGAUAUCACUAGAGGGUCCUGAAGUUUGUUAUCAUCGAAGGCUCAUGUGUCGACCUGUAUAUACAGCACAUAAUGGUAGCAACACAAAAUGUAUUCUUAGAGACGUGGACAUCUUUGCUAACAGGGCACCAGGCACACACAUGUUGAAGUAUUUCCGCCAUGCAAAAUUCAGAGACAUGGAUGCCAUGUCAGCGGAAACGUGGUCAUUUCAGGAUGUCAAGUAAGUAGUUUGGAGGCGAGGGAUAUCUACUGGACUCAUCCAGCAGCCUCAUGCUUCGCAAGGAGUUAAAGUAACACUAGUCAAGAACAGGUGUUUGGCCUUCAGAAGGGAAAGAGAAAAACAAACAUAGUGCGUUGCGCAAGCAGUUACCUAUGGUAGAUGUUGUAAGUCAAUUAGCCUUUAAUUACAGAAUUUUUUCCUAUGCAUGGACGAAGGACCUGAAAUAAAGGGAAUAUCACAAUUUGGCGAAGGUACAAAAUCUACCAUGCAACAAAGUUAUGUUUUGAACUGGAAACUGUUCACAUGGAUCUUACAAUGACAACAACACUAGUGACAAAAGCCUUGCAACCAUCUAAAAGUUAUCAUUUAGCAAAAACAGUACUCCAAAGUCAACAGAACGGACACAAGGGACACAAUUCUAUUACAAUCACAGUUAAAGCUGCAAUGUCAUUAAACAGUAGGGUUAAUCUUUCUGUUCAGGAACUACUGGACAAGAUAAGGUAGCUUAACCUUUUUCCCGAAGAGAUAAGAUAGCUUAACAUGAUGUGUUGUAUGCAGAGUCACCAAACUGGAGCAGCUUUAAUUGUGUAGGUGAACUGUUGGAUCUGAAGCAUUCUGCAUCGGUGGAGGACAGAAUGGAGCGGCUGUAGUUUCUUGGUCAGGACUCAC